GCCUGCCCAGUGACUAAUGUUCAACGGCCGCGGUAUCCUAACCGUGCGAAGGUAGCGUAAUCACUUGUUCUUUAAAUGGGGACUAGUAUGAAUGGCACCACGAGGGUUUUACUGUCUCCUUUCUCUGAUCAGUGAAACUAAUCUCCCCGUGAAGAAGCGGGGAUACAACUAUAAGACGAGAAGACCCUAUGGAGCUUUAAAUCUCUUUUCAAACGCUAAAUCACUUAUUCAAGUCUAAGACUUACCCCACAUUUACCUAAGCGCCAUGAAAAUGAUUUUAGGUUGGGGUGACCGCGGAGCACAAAAAAACCUCCACGCUGAACUAGACGUCCAAACCUUGAGCUAAGAGCUACAACUCAACGCACUAAAAAAUUAACACCAAUUGACCCAAUAUUUAUUUGAUCAACGAACCAAGUUACCCUAGGGAUAACAGCGCAAUCCAUUUCAAGAGUCCAUAUCGACAGAUGGGUUUACGACCUCGAUGUUGGAUCAGGGUCUCCCAGUGGUGCAGCCGCUACUAAUGGUUCGUUUGUUCAACGAUUAAAACCCU
This 550-nucleotide ribosomal RNA is filed under the name Scinax cf. cruentommus ABGD cluster 47. Its description in RNAcentral is "partial large subunit ribosomal RNA". It matches the Rfam family "Bacterial large subunit ribosomal RNA", at positions 1857 to 2597 of the family's 2925-position model. The record is from RNAcentral. Lineage: Eukaryota; Metazoa; Chordata; Amphibia; Anura; Hylidae.